RNAcentral lists this ribosomal RNA (465 nucleotides) under uncultured bacterium. RNAcentral describes it as "partial 16S ribosomal RNA". It matches the Rfam family "Bacterial small subunit ribosomal RNA", at positions 28 to 507 of the family's 1533-position model. The record is from RNAcentral.
GAUGAACGCUGGCGGCGUGCUUAACACAUGCAAGUCGAACGGAAAGGCUCCUGCUUGCUGGGGUACUCGAGUGGCGAACGGGUGAGUAACACGUGGGUAAUCUGCCCUGCACUUCGGGAUAAGCCUGGGAAACUGGGUCUAAUACCGGAUAGGACCACAUUUUGGAUGGUGUGGUGGAAAGUUUUUCGGUGUGGGAUGAGCUCGCGGCCUAUCAGCUUGUUGGUGGGGUAAUGGCCUACCAAGGCGUCGACGGGUAGCCGGCCUGAGAGGGUGUACGGCCACAUUGGGACUGAGAUACGGCCCAGACUCCUACGGGAGGCAGCAGUGGGGAAUAUUGCACAAUGGGCGCAAGCCUGAUGCAGCGACGCCGCGUGGGGGAUGACGGCCUUCGGGUUGUAAACUCCUUUCGCUAGGGACGAAGCGCAAGUGACGGUACCUGGAGAAGAAGCACCGGCUAACUACGUG